RNAcentral lists this ribosomal RNA (274 nucleotides) under uncultured bacterium. RNAcentral describes it as "partial 16S ribosomal RNA". It matches the Rfam family "Bacterial small subunit ribosomal RNA", at positions 523 to 796 of the family's 1533-position model. The record is from RNAcentral.
AUACGGAGGGUGCAAGCGUUAAUCGGAAUUACUGGGCGUAAAGCGCGCGUAGGCGGCUAAGUAAGUCGGAUGUGAAAGCCCCGGGCUCAACCUGGGAACUGCAUUCAAAACUGUUUGACUAGAGUAUGGUAGAGGGAAGUGGAAUUCCAGGUGUAGCGGUGAAAUGCGUAGAUAUCUGGAGGAACAUCAGUGGCGAAGGCGACUUCCUGGGCCAAUACUGACGCUGAGGUGCGAAAGCGUGGGGAGCAAACAGGAUUAGAAACCCCGGUAGUCC